GAUGAACGCUAGCGGCAGGCCUAACACAUGCAAGUCGAGGGAGAAGCCCUUCGGGGCAGAAACCGGCGCACGGGUGCGUAACGCGUAUGCAACCUACCUUUCACAGGGGGAUAGCCCGAAGAAAUUUGGAUUAAUACCCCAUAAUAUUAUUGGGUGGCAUCAUUUGAUAAUUAAAAUUACGAUGGUGAAAGAUGGGCAUGCGUCCUAUUAGCUAGUUGGAGUGGUAACGGCACCCCAAGGCUACGAUAGGUAGGGGUCCUGAGAGGGAGAUCCCCCACACUGGUACUGAGACAGGGACCAGACUCCUACGGGAGGCAGCAGUGAGGAAUAUUGGUCAAUGGUCGGAAGACUGAACCAGCCAUGCCGCGUGCAGGAAGAAUGCCUUAUGGGUUGUAAACUGCUUUUAUAUGGGAAGAAUAAGGAGUACGUGUACUUUGAUGACGGUACCAUAUGAAUAAGCAUCGCA
Molecule: ribosomal RNA, 466 nt
Filed under: Capnocytophaga granulosa
Lineage: Bacteria; Pseudomonadati; Bacteroidota; Flavobacteriia; Flavobacteriales; Flavobacteriaceae
Description: bacterial SSU rRNA
Rfam family: Bacterial small subunit ribosomal RNA
Source: RNAcentral